This 406-nucleotide long non-coding RNA is filed under the name Eutrema salsugineum. RNAcentral's name for it is "long non-coding RNA (ESAL_LNC001541)". The record is from RNAcentral. Lineage: Eukaryota; Viridiplantae; Streptophyta; Magnoliopsida; Brassicales; Brassicaceae.
AUGGAUUAAUAACUUCCAACCUUCUGGUUAAAAGUUAAAAAAAAAUUUUUUUUUUUUAUUUAUUAAGUUACACAUCAAGUCAACACUUUUACAUAUCAAAUCAACACAGGCAACAUUAGACCAAACAUAUUGAACAAUAUAAAUUUACGAAUCCAGCUUUUUGUUCCUGAUCGAUAAAAUUAAAUUCACUUUUUGGUAGAAUAUACAUAUAUGGAGAAAAACUCAAAUCAAGUUGGCAGCUUUGUAUAUGCUGCAUAUCCUUCUAUUUUGUUGCAAAGUACAGGAGGUUACAGUCCCAAAUAUCAAAUCUGUUGGGAAUAAAUAUUUUAAGGUGAUAAAAGAAAGUGUUUAAGUGUUUUGGAGAGAACAGAAACUUUUAGGAAGAAAAAGGUUUUAUUGCUUUUAG